UAUCUUUGCACCCGCUAUUCCUAUGAGUGGAAUUGCUACAUAAUAAUUAUUUAACUAAAUAUUAGCAUG
This 69-nucleotide non-coding RNA is filed under the name unclassified sequences. The record is from Rfam.